GACGAACGCUGGCGGCGUGCUUAACACAUGCAAGUCGAACGGAAAGGCCCUGCUUUUGUGGGGUGCUCGAGUGGCGAACUGGUGAGUAACACGUGAGUAACCUGCCCUUGACUUUGGGAUAACUUCAUGAAACUGGGGCUAAUACCUGAUAGGAGCUCCUGCUGCAUGUUGGGGGUUGGAAAGUUUCGGCGGUUGGGGAUGGACUCGCGGCUUAUCAGCUUGUUGGUGGGGUAGUGGCUUACCAAGGCUUUGACGGGUAGCCGGCCUGAGAGGGUGACCGGCCACAUUGGGACUGAGAUACGGCCCAGACUCCUACGGGAGGCAGCAGUGGGGAAUAUUGCACAAUGGGCGGAAGCCUGAUGCAGCAACGCCGCGUGCGGGAUGACGGCCUUCGGGUUGUAAACCGCUUUCGCCUGUGACGAAGCGUGAGUGACGGUAAUGGGUAAAGAAGCACCGGCUAACUACGUG
This 468-nucleotide ribosomal RNA is filed under the name uncultured bacterium. RNAcentral describes it as "partial 16S ribosomal RNA". It matches the Rfam family "Bacterial small subunit ribosomal RNA", at positions 28 to 507 of the family's 1533-position model. The record is from RNAcentral.